Long non-coding RNA from Pipistrellus kuhlii (Kuhl's pipistrelle), 236 nucleotides. RefSeq lists it as uncharacterized. The transcript has 2 exons. Lineage: Eukaryota; Metazoa; Chordata; Mammalia; Chiroptera; Vespertilionidae. The record is from RefSeq and is a predicted model, not a curated record.
UAGCAGCAGAAGACCCAAGUUAGAAAUCCCUGGAAUCAAGAACUAUAUAGAAAAAUGCAAAAAUUUUAAAAUAAAAAACUUCUUAUUCUCAGUUUCACUCCCCAAAAGGUGAAUCUUCCUUGCAGAGAGCUGAGACCCACUGCACACAUUUGGGCAGGCCCCGAACGUAAUGCAGCUCCACCGUUACUGCUAAUAUAAGUAAUGUUUGUAAAGUUCUUACCUACUAAACAAUUUAG